Molecule: ribosomal RNA, 778 nt
Filed under: uncultured Neocallimastigales
Lineage: Eukaryota; Fungi; Neocallimastigomycota; Neocallimastigomycetes; Neocallimastigales
Description: partial large subunit ribosomal RNA
Rfam family: Eukaryotic large subunit ribosomal RNA
Source: RNAcentral
AACACGCAUGACACACUGCAUAUCAAUAAGCGGAGGAAAAGAAACUAACAAGGAUUCCCUUAGUAACGGCGAGUGAAGCGGGAAGAGUUCAAAUUUGAAAUCUUCAAGGUUCUACCUUGACGAAUUGUAGUUUAUAGAAGUGUUUUCUGUUAGUAGAGUGGCAAAAGUUCUUUGGAAUAGGACAUCAUAGAGGGUGAGAAUCCCGUAUUUGGUCAUUCCUCCUAGCGUUGUGAUACACUUCAACGAGUCGGAUUGUUUGGGGAAUGCAGUCCAAAAUGGGUGGUAAAUUUCAUCUAAAGCUAAAUAUUGGCGAGAGACCGAUAGCGAACAAGUACCGUGAGGGAAAGAUGAAAAGAACUUUGAAAAGAGAGUUAAACAGUACGUGAAAUUGUCAAAAGGGAAGCGUUUGACACCAGUGUUGUUUUUCCGAAAAUCAAUUACGAAUGUUUUGUUUUUAAGAAGUUAUGACUUCAUCGGCUUGCUUCUCUCUUUACUGAAACUUUCUUAAUGCACUUUUCGGUUAACAAGUCGACAUCAAUUUCUUUUGUUGUAAAAGGGUAUGAGGAAGGUGGCUUUCUUUUCGGAGAAAGUGUUUAUAGCCUCGUAGCCUCUGCAAUCGGAGAGAUUGAGGUCUGCAGCGUAGAUCCUUCGGGGUUAGAUACAGUUUGUGCUAAGUUAUAGCUUUUCAUAGACAACUUGUUGACUAUGUUUAGUCUUGUAGCUUACUCGCUUAUGCUAUUUUACCUACGCUUAGGAUGUUGACGAGACUGUCGAUCUC